RNAcentral lists this long non-coding RNA (1957 nucleotides) under Nannospalax galili (Upper Galilee mountains blind mole rat). Its description in RNAcentral is "lncRNA (ENSNGAG00000024496.1)". The record is from RNAcentral. Lineage: Eukaryota; Metazoa; Chordata; Mammalia; Rodentia; Spalacidae.
AAGGCAUUUGUUAUUGGUCCAUGAAAAUUAUGUUUUUUAUGUGACAUCCUUGCAUAAAUGUGUCACGGAGGUCACAUUAUCUUAAGUGUGUUCUCUUCAGUGGCUCAUUGUUGCCUUCUGGGUGGGUAACACAGUGUUUACAUUUUAUUUUAGAACAUUAGCAGUGUUGUGGCUGCGUUUUCCGAUCUUCUUCACGUUCGAAUUCCUAACAGCUAUGAGGUUAGUAAUGCUCCAGAUGUUCCAUCCAUGGGUUUGGUCAGUAGCCACAGAGUAAACCCAGGUUUGGAGUAUCGACAGCAUUUGCUUCUUCGUGGGCCUCCACCAGGAUCUGCACAUCCUCCCAGAUUAGCGAGCUCUUACCGGCUGAAGCAGCCUAACAUACCAUUUCCUCCAGCAAGCAAUGGACUUUCGGGAUAUAAGGACUGCAGUCGUGGCAUUGCCGAAAGUGCAGCGCUCCGUCCACAGUGGUGUUGUCACUGCAAAGUGGUUAUUCUUGGAAGUGGUGUGCGGAAGUCUUUUAAAGAUCUGGCCUUUGUGAACAAGGAUUCCCGAGAAAACACCAGGUGGCUAGAAAAGGAUAUUGUCUUCUGUAGUAAUAACUGCUUCGUUCUUUAUUCGUCUACUGCACAAGGAAAACCAGAAAACAAGGUGGGUGGUGGGUGAUCUCUGACAUGUCCCCGCCUCAUGGGCUCCUAUAUGGGAAAUCCUGAACGGGUGCUAAUCAAGUUGGUAGACAGGCCCUAAAUGUUCUUCCUGAUUAAAUAAGCUAUUUGACAAAAGUGGACAGGUGCAAAUUAAAUUUUAUUAAAUACUUUUUUUUUUUUUCUUUUUAAUUUAGUAGUACUGACAGUUGACUUUAGGGCUUAGUACAUGUUACCUCACUGCUUUACCACUAAGCUAUAUCCCAGGCCUUCUUUUAAUUUUUGUUUUUGCGAUAGGUCUCACUAAACUGCCCGGGCAGGCCCUGAACUUGUAGUCCUCCCGCCUCAGCCUCUUGAGUGGCUGGGACUUUUUCUUUCAUUAUUUUUUUUCCUCUUUUCCACCCCUCCCCCCAUUGUGUAUCUGUCUAUCUUGGUUUUUUGAGACAGUCUUGCUGUGUAGUCCAGGGUGACCUCCAACUCAUGGUGACCCUUCUGUCUGUCAUUAGUCACCAAAGUACUGGGAUUACAAGUUUGUACCAUCACACCCAGACUAAUUACAUUUUAAAAAUCUAGAAUUAAGUAGAAUAGUGGUACCAGAAUCUUGCAUUUUACUAAUUACAAAUAUCUUAAUAAACAUUAAAAAUUUUGCUUUUUGGGGGGGGUGGCUGGAGAGGUGGCUCAGCAGAUAAGAACACUGAUUGUUCUUACAGAAGACAAAUCCCAGCACCUACAUGGCAGCUAACAACUGUCUAUAACUCCAGUUCCAGGGGAUUCAACAGUCUCUUUUGUCCACCGCAGGCACUGCACAACACGGGUGCACUUACCUACAUGCAGGCAAUACACACAUACACAUAAAAAAAAAUAAAGAAAUAAAAUAUUGUUAAAAUUUGUUUGCUUUUUGUUGAUCAAUAGGAAAGCGUUAUCAAAAAGAGAAUUAAGUCAGUUCCUGCAUUGUGAGAGAAAGCAUUUUGCUCAUACCCAGCUGCUUUUUUGAUUUUGUACAGAUUAAGCAUGUCUAACUAUGCAGUUGAUACAAAUGGUAUGUUUUUAGUUGUCUUGUUUUUGGUUUUUUUGAGACAGGGUCUUCCUGUACCCCAGCUGGCUUCGCACUCGCCAUAUAGACCAGGCUAGCCUCAUUCUUACAAAGAUAACCUACCUCUGUCUUCUGAGUCCUGGGACUAAAGGCAAGUGUCACCACGCCUGACCAAAUGAUCAGUUUUUAAUCGUGUGCUUUGAAGGAGAAAUUUUCAUAUAAAAUAAUACUGUUAGUUACUACUACCUCAAGAUAAUUGCUUUAAUAUGACUUUCACAGAGCA